Molecule: long non-coding RNA, 1261 nt
Filed under: Bos indicus x Bos taurus (hybrid cattle)
Lineage: Eukaryota; Metazoa; Chordata; Mammalia; Artiodactyla; Bovidae
Description: lncRNA (ENSBIXG00005027315.1)
Source: RNAcentral
CCACUCCCUGCAGCACCCCCUUCUACACAGCAGGCCCCAUAUGCCCCAAUUUCACAUACACAAUCUCAUUUUACCAUCACAGCCACCUUGUGAGGGAGGUAUUAAUUGUACCUAUAUGACAGAUGAGGACAUGGUGACUCAGAAAAGUUGAAUAAUGAGCUGGACUGCAUUGGUCCUGAAAGCUUUCUCCCCACAGUCACUAAGUUUCACCUGCUUCUUCCUCUCCCCCACCAGCCCAGGUCUCUCCUUCUCCUCAGAUUCUCUUCUCUGCCUGUCUCUUCCCAGCCUAACCCAUCUUCCCUCCCCUGGAUUUUAGGCUGUUAUUCUUUUCUGUCUCCCAGUGUAACAGGCUGGCUUCACUCAGCUCCUAAUAAAUCUGUGAAGUUGUAAUCAAUCUGUAUAUCAGCUCUCCUGAGGAAACCUGGUGGGGAUUAGGUUUGCGUUUCUCUGUAAUUAUAGCUGAAGACCUAGGCAAUGAAUCAAACUGACUGACAGAAAGAAUGGGGUUACCUCAAAACACCUUGCGUCUCCUCUCCUGUGGUCUAUCCGGCCAGGCCCCAACCACAGAUGACCUGCCUCGCUGCUGCACCCCUCCCCCCCAUCCCCAAGGCUGAGGGUGUGAGAUCCAGACCAGACCUCUGACCUUGGGCUGGAGGUCAAGAUCCUGAAGGUCACAGAAAAAGGGGGUCUGCAAGAUGUGCAAGAAUCUUCCAGAGCGCUCAUCUAACUACGCAUCCUCUCUCCUCCUGUGGGUCUGGGUAAUUUCUCCCUCCUUUAGUUUCCUGGGGUUUCUCUCCCUACACUUGGGUAAAGUGGGAGAGAGGGGGUCUUUUUGAGGAGUGUCAGUCCCCUAACUAGUCUGGAAACUCUGCACUUGAUUUUGGCUAUUUUUGGCAGAAUCAGAAGGAGAUGGUAGGCAGCAGUGCGCGUGACAGUGGAGACCAAAGAUGGGGGAGGGGUGCUAGGCUGCCAGGUGGUGGAGAUGCCUUGGAGACUGACAAUCCAUCUGCCUCUCCUUUCUUUCCAGGGGCCCAAGCGGGGUUGGCGCAAGAGGACUUGGUCCAGGCAGGGAUGCUGGCCUUUCUUCCCACGUCCUGUGAGGUUCCUCACCAUCAAGCUUAGAUUUCGAAAAUUAACAUCACGGAGGGAAAUGUCAUGGAGCCGAAGACAGCCUCCAACUGUAACACUCCAAGAAGUGCCAGCUUGGGCCAAGAUAUUGAACCCUGAUCACCUUCCUGGCCCCACUCUAUUUUUGACUUGA